This 476-nucleotide ribosomal RNA is filed under the name uncultured bacterium. Its description in RNAcentral is "bacterial SSU rRNA". It matches the Rfam family "Bacterial small subunit ribosomal RNA", at positions 28 to 507 of the family's 1533-position model. The record is from RNAcentral.
GACGAACGCUGGCGGCGUGCCUAACACAUGCAAGUCGAGCGGGGUUGAAGCGAGGGGUAACUCGAGUUUCUACCUAGCGGCGGACGGGUGAGUAACGCGUGGGCAACCUGCCUCAAGGACUGGGAUAACAGCUCGAAAGGGCUGCUAAUACCGGAUAAGCCUAUGGCCUCGCAUGGGGCCAUGAGCAAAGGGGAAACCCGCCUUGAGAUGGGCCCGCGUCCCAUCAGCUAGUUGGUGAGGUGAAGGCUCACCAAGGCGACGACGGGUAGCCGGCCUGAGAGGGUGACCGGCCACACUGGGACUGAGACACGGCCCAGACUCCUACGGGGGGCAGCAGUGGGGAAUCUUGCACAAUGGGCGAAAGCCUGAUGCAGCGACGCCGCGUGAGCGAAGAAGGCCUUCGGGUUGUAAAGCUCUGUCUGGAGGGACGAAGGAAGUAGACGGUACCUCCGGAGGAAGCCACGGCUAACUACGUG